CAGAACACUCUGACAUUUUAGUUGGUCUCAGCUGUGGCAAGAAGCAGCUGGACCCCAGUGAGAAGAGGAAACCAGAGGCUGCCUUCUGACAGCUGGGGUCAGGGUCCCUGGCUCAGUGGGCCUGAGUUCAGGUGCACCUACUUCCUCAUUCCCAUUCUGUCAAAUGGCACAUUAAUAAGCAAGAAGGAGAUUCGGGGAAGAAUUUCCAGAAGGACAAAAACUCAUCAGAUCUGACAACCGACUGGUCCUUUCUCUGUGCUGUGCGGUAGAGGAGAGGAUGGGGCUUUCGGCCUCCCGGCUGCGCUUGAUGGAGAACGUCCUGAUGAUAGCAACCUCGUGAAUGUCCGACUGCAAAGACCCACGUCUACAAAUUGCUGUCAGCCAGAGGAAUGACUGUAACUUCCUCGGUGCCGAGUGAACAGCUUUGCUCUGCUCUGAGCUCCUACCAUGGCAUGUCAUCCACCGCAGGCCCAAGGCAAGGGAACUGAUCUGAAACUGGGGCUGAAACUGCUGAAACUGGAGCCAAAAGAAACCUUUUUCUCCAUAAAUUGAUUUAUCUCAAUUCUGCUGAUUAUUGGAUAUUGAUUUACCAGGCAGAGCCAAUGCCUUCUCUGUGUGUGUCUACAGGACAGACUUCAGUCAGUAUCUGCUGAGCACAUGCAUGGAUUGAUUUUAUACUCCUUCGUCCCACAAGGUCACGCCUUCCUCAUGCUUCCUUUUGAUCCAACGCAGGAGCAGGGUCGAUGUUAUUACUCCAAAGACCAAAUCGGCAAUGGUGUGGACUCUAGAGAUCUUGGGCUCAAGGUCACUGAAACUGAUGAACAUCUCAAGGUUAUUGCACGAUGGGCAAAGACUGCACCACAAAGCCAAAAGAAUGGAAA
Molecule: long non-coding RNA, 881 nt
Organism: Chinchilla lanigera (long-tailed chinchilla)
Lineage: Eukaryota; Metazoa; Chordata; Mammalia; Rodentia; Chinchillidae
Exons: 6
Source: RefSeq, a predicted model, not a curated record